CCCUUAGAUGUUCUGGUCAGCACGCGCGCUACAAUGGUCUUCGCAAACGGAUGCAUUCUCGAAGGAGAAUGCCAAUCUUGGAAUCUAUGCCUUGGUCGGGACAGUUGCUUGCAAUUUUUCGACUCGAACCAGGAAUUCCUUGUAAUCGUGAUUCAUCACAUCACGAUGAAUACGUCCCUGCCCUUUGUACACACCGCCCGUCGCUCCUACCGAUCGAAGAGUUAGGUGAAUUGUUUUGAUCGAUAAGAUUUGACUAUGGUCAACUCUCGUUGUGAAAUUCUGUGAAUCUGACUGUUUAGAGGAAGGAAAAGUCGUAACA
RNAcentral lists this ribosomal RNA (319 nucleotides) under uncultured eukaryote. RNAcentral's name for it is "partial 18S ribosomal RNA". It matches the Rfam family "Eukaryotic small subunit ribosomal RNA", at positions 1470 to 1796 of the family's 1831-position model. The record is from RNAcentral.